Gasterosteus aculeatus aculeatus (three-spined stickleback) is the source of this 525-nucleotide long non-coding RNA. NCBI's taxonomy places the organism in Eukaryota, Metazoa, Chordata, Actinopteri, Perciformes, Gasterosteidae. The record is from Ensembl.
AAACACCACGAGUUCUUGGCCUCGCUCACAUCCGCCUCCCCAGCUCCUCCACCGCUCUCCUCGGCCCCCGUGGGGUUCCAGCAGUGGCUUUGGGCUUUGCAGGACACUUCACACGGGAGCUGUGGAGGAAUUGGUGGAGGGCUACUUGCACAUGCGAUGCCAGAGGAAGAGGAUGAACCAGGGGGCAACGCCGGGGUCUCGAACCGUUGACUGAUACACAACAUGUUCCGGGAUGGAUGGAGGCUCGGUAGUCAACCCGACAUUCACGUUGUGUUUCUGCCCCACAGGCAGACGGAGCACAGGAACGAGUGCAGCGGGAUGAGGAAGCUUUACUUCUCCGUCUUCUGCCUGUUGAUCAAAGGACGUGGGAGAAAAAACACACACACACACACACUGUGAAGAAAAAGAUACAGCAAAAAAAAAAAAGCUCGGAACUUUUUCUUGAAACUUUUUCUCCUCUUUUCCCUCCUGCACUAUGUUCUUAGUCAAAUGUCUUUAUUUUGUAUCCGCAUUGACCUUCCUGCU